This is a transfer RNA of Fistulina hepatica ATCC 64428, 94 nucleotides long. It matches the Rfam family "tRNA". Rfam says of the family: Transfer RNA (tRNA) molecules are approximately 80 nucleotides in length. Their secondary structure includes four short double-helical elements and three loops (D, anti-codon, and T loops). Further hydrogen bonds mediate the characteristic L-shaped molecular structure. tRNAs have two regions of fundamental functional importance: the anti-codon, which is responsible for specific mRNA codon recognition, and the 3' end, to which the tRNAs corresponding amino acid is attached (by aminoacyl-tRNA synthetases). tRNAs cope with the degeneracy of the genetic code in two manners: having more than one tRNA (with a specific anti-codon) for a particular amino acid; and 'wobble' base-pairing, i.e. permitting non-standard base-pairing at the 3rd anti-codon position. The record is from Rfam. NCBI's taxonomy places the organism in Eukaryota, Fungi, Basidiomycota, Agaricomycetes, Agaricales, Fistulinaceae.
GGCGCUGUAGCCAAGUGGUUAAGGCGAUUGAUUAGAACAAGCAAACUAUAUCACUUCCACUUUGUGGGCGUAGGUUCGAAUCCUGCCGGCGUCG